CCGACAGCAGCCGAGCUCCGAGGACUGCCUUGUGUCUGACAGAGCACACGGAGCCCUGAGCCUUCUUCCCGGCUGGCUAUGCUUGGGAGGGCUGCCCAGGCGUUCCCUAAGGAGCAGCGGGCUCCUGUCUCAUUCUGGGCCUUCAAACUGCUGACCACAGGCUGAUGCCGAGCUGCCAGAAAGGACACCUAGAGCUUCUCCUUGACGACCCUCCCAGGUCAAGAAACUUCUGGGUGUCUUAGGACCAAGGCUGUUGAAGACUUCCAGAAGGGCUCUCUAUCCAGGCAAAGCAUGCUGCACCUUAGCUGAGCCUCCUCCCCAAACUGCUGCUGACAAGAAACCAAUCUUCCUGGGCGAUGUGCUUCUGAGUGUUCUGCUGAGGAACCAUGGGAGGCCUGUCCAGCAGAGGGAGAAUGCUGACAAGCCCGAGCUCAAGGCCCUGUGCCCUGAGCCAGGGGCCUGGGCCCACAGAAGCAGAGAGAAGCAAGGUCACAGCCGUGGCCCUGGGCGGUUUUCCAGCAGGUGAGCCCGCCGAGCCCUCGCUGAGGCUGGGGGAGCCG
Long non-coding RNA from Tupaia belangeri chinensis (Chinese tree shrew), 560 nucleotides. RefSeq lists it as uncharacterized. The record is from RefSeq and is a predicted model, not a curated record. NCBI's taxonomy places the organism in Eukaryota, Metazoa, Chordata, Mammalia, Scandentia, Tupaiidae. The transcript has 3 exons.